RNAcentral lists this ribosomal RNA (464 nucleotides) under Vreelandella stevensii. RNAcentral's name for it is "partial 16S ribosomal RNA". It matches the Rfam family "Bacterial small subunit ribosomal RNA", at positions 338 to 795 of the family's 1533-position model. Lineage: Bacteria; Pseudomonadati; Pseudomonadota; Gammaproteobacteria; Oceanospirillales; Halomonadaceae. The record is from RNAcentral.
CCUACGGGAGGCAGCAGUGGGGAAUAUUGGACAAUGGGGGCAACCCUGAUCCAGCCAUGCCGCGUGUGUGAAGAAGGCCCUCGGGUUGUAAAGCACUUUCAGUGAGGAAGAACGCCUGGUGGUUAAUACCCAUCAGGAAAGACAUCACUCACAGAAGAAGCACCGGCUAACUCCGUGCCAGCAGCCGCGGUAAUACGGAGGGUGCGAGCGUUAAUCGGAAUUACUGGGCGUAAAGCGCGCGUAGGUGGCUUGAUAAGCCGGUUGUGAAAGCCCCGGGCUCAACCUGGGAACGGCAUCCGGAACUGUCAAGCUAGAGUGCAGGAGAGGAAGGUAGAAUUCCCGGUGUAGCGGUGAAAUGCGUAGAGAUCGGGAGGAAUACCAGUGGCGAAGGCGGCCUUCUGGACUGACACUGACACUGAGGUGCGAAAGCGUGGGUAGCAAACAGGAUUAGAUACCCUGGUGUC